This 497-nucleotide ribosomal RNA is filed under the name uncultured bacterium. Its description in RNAcentral is "partial 16S ribosomal RNA". It matches the Rfam family "Bacterial small subunit ribosomal RNA", at positions 28 to 507 of the family's 1533-position model. The record is from RNAcentral.
GACGAACGCUGGCGGCGUGCCUAAUACAUGCAAGUUGAGCGAUGAAGAUUGGUGCUUGCACCAAUUUGAAGAGCAGCGAACGGGUGAGUAACGCGUGGGGAAUCUGCCUUUGAGCGGGGGACAACAUUUGGAAACGAAUGCUAAUACCGCAUAAUAACUUUAAACAUAAGUUUUAAGUUUUAAAGAUGCAAUUGCAUCACUCAAAGAUGAUCCCGCGUUGUAUUAGCUAGUUGGUGAGGUAAAGGCUCACCAAGGCGAUGAUACAUAGCCGACCUGAGAGGGUGAUCGGCCACAUUGGGACUGAGACGCGGCCCAAACUCCUACGGGAGGCAGCAGUAGGGAAUCUUCGGCAAUAGACGAAAGUCUGACCGAGCAACGCCGCGUGAGUGAAGAAGGUUUUCGGAUCGUAAAACUCUGUUGGUAGAGAAGAACGUUGGUGAGAGUGGAAAGCUCAUCAAGUGACGGUAACUACCCAGAAAGGGACGGCUAACUACGUG